Long non-coding RNA from Hyla sarda, 409 nucleotides. RefSeq lists it as uncharacterized. Lineage: Eukaryota; Metazoa; Chordata; Amphibia; Anura; Hylidae. The record is from RefSeq and is a predicted model, not a curated record. The transcript has 3 exons.
CUAUGGGCAACUGGGCAAGUUUUCCUCUGCACAGGUUUUGAUAAAUCUCCCCCAUACUUUUGUUAAGGCGAGGAUCAGAAUCCGCUGACAUAGUGAGGAACCAUCUGGGUAUCAAGUUCUGCUGAGUGAACAUUUAGCUGAAACAAAUCCUGGCGAUUCCAGCAUGACCAGCCAACAGAGAAGAAUAACCCCAUUUCAAGAUCCGGAGUUUCAAACGAGAAGAAACAUAAGUCUUCCCAGGGGGCAGAUGCUGAAGACUUGCUGGUGCUGCAGAAAUAAGACUGUGAUAGCUUGGGGAUGUAGGGUAUGGGGAGUGUGGCUGUGCGGUAAUUAAAGGGUGCUUGUUAACCCUUGCUAUUCGUGACGCCAGGGUGUGGGCUCCUCAGUAAUGCUUGUCCUACCGCCACCC